UAAUACCAGCUCUCCGAGUGGUGGGGAUGCUUAUUGGGCCUAAAGCAUUCGUAGCUUGUUCGGCAAGUCCCCCGUUAAAUCCAGCGAUUCAAUCGUUGGACUGCGGGGGAUACUGCUGGGCUAGGGGGCGGGAGAGGCCGACGGUAUCCUCGGGGUAGGGGUGAAAUCCUAUAAUCCCGGGUAGACCACCAGUGGCGAAGGCUGUCGGCUAGAACGCGCCCGACGGUGAGGGAUGAAAGCUGGGGGAGCGAACCGGAUUAGAUACCCGGGUAGUCCCAGCUGUAAACUAUGCAGGCUAGGUGUUGGAGCGGCUACGAGCCGCUUCGGUGCCGCAGGGAAACUGUUAAGCCUGCCGCCUGGGGAGUACGGCCGCAAGGCUG
Molecule: ribosomal RNA, 380 nt
Filed under: uncultured archaeon
Lineage: Archaea
Description: bacterial SSU rRNA
Rfam family: Archaeal small subunit ribosomal RNA
Source: RNAcentral